RNAcentral lists this ribosomal RNA (253 nucleotides) under uncultured bacterium. Its description in RNAcentral is "partial 16S ribosomal RNA". It matches the Rfam family "Bacterial small subunit ribosomal RNA", at positions 524 to 776 of the family's 1533-position model. The record is from RNAcentral.
GACGAACCGUGCGAACGUUAUUCGGAAUCACUGGGCUUAAAGCGCGUGUAGGCGGGCCGCACGUCGGUCGCUGAAAUCCCCCGGCUCAACCGGGGAAGGGGCGCCGAUACGACCGGCCUGGAGGGGCGUAGGGGGACCGGGAACUUCCGGUGGAGCGGUGAAAUGCGUUGAGAUCGGAAGGAACGCCCGUGGCGAAAGCGCGGUCCUGGACGCCUGCUGACGCUGAGACGCGAAAGCCAGGGGAGCGAACGGG